UCUGACCCAGGCACCGGUUAUGAAGAAGACAAGCAGCUCUACAGAGGGGCCUCAAGAAAUCCUUCGAAACAGAAAUCAAAGUCUUGCUGGAAGGGUUCUGGGCACCCUGGACUGUCCACAUGGGAGGCUGUUGGUGCGUGUGCCUACGUGUGUCCAUCAGUGGAUGCACGAAGAAGGAAAUGCUGUCAGCUGUCUGCACUCCCAGACGGGGUGAUGGCCUGGCACCAACGGAGCAUUACCCUGAUGAAUCAUGGUCGAGGUACUUUUCCACUGGGCCAGCCGCCACAGCCCCUUCUCCAUCCUUCGGAGAGCUCUGUCACCUCGCCUUGUAGCACUUGUGUCUCUCCCACUGGCCUCCACUUCUUGUGGGCACUUUCUGGAUGCCCAGGCCUAAUCCAGCGCUGGCACUCAGUUAAUUCUCUCUUCCUUUAAAGGGAACAAUUACCACCUUGAGGAAGGAGGCCUGAAAGCUAAGUCUUUGCUAUUGCAUCCGCCUUCUUCUCACGAAGACCUGCAGCUUGAAAGGAGGGGAGGGAGAAAUAGCCCUAAGCUCCAGGAAGACCAAG
Molecule: long non-coding RNA, 566 nt
Filed under: Homo sapiens (human)
Lineage: Eukaryota; Metazoa; Chordata; Mammalia; Primates; Hominidae
Description: HTRA1 and ARMS2 antisense RNA 1
Source: RNAcentral